UAAUUAUAUACUCGCGAGAGGGGAGGAGACAAAACAUUUUUAACGAAGCUCACUCUUACUCUCUCUCCGUUCUCAUUCCUUCUCUCUCUCUCGCGGAGGGGAACGAAGCGGCGGCGGCGGAGAUGGCGAUGGCGGAGGGCGGCGGCGGCGACUGGGCCACUCCGCCGCUGGAGGUGUUGCUGUCGAUAGGGUUGGAUAAGCGCACGGCGGAGAACGCCCUCGUCAACCACGAGCUCACCUCCAACCUCAUCGCCAUCAUCAACGAGGCUGGUGUUAGUGGAUGCAGCAAAUCAAUCGGUUGCGACAAAGUGCCCGACGAAUGCGCUCGGCCCUCGUCCUUUUCUAAUCAGAUAUAUUGUCUCAUCAAAGAUCAAGAAUUCAACACAGUUAGAUGCUGCUCUGUCAUUUCUUUCUAAUGCUGGCUUGGAAUCUUUCGAGUUGGAUAAAUUUGAAGAAGCUUGUGGUGUGCGUACGCUCAUUAGUUAUUUCUUAUAACUGUUUUACUUGUAUGCUAAUGAUAUGCUAAUGAUACACGGUAUAGUUGGGUGAUUAAAUUGUCGAAGAAGGAUCAUCACCCUGUGCGACUUUUAGCCUGAACACAGAGUAGUGCAUAACCGAUUGAUUUUGCAAGAGAACUGUUGAAAGUUAAAACUUCUUUGAGUUCGUUUCCUAUAAAAGUGUUAAAUAACAUGGUAUCUGAACUACCGACCGUCUCUAGAGCAAGUGGCAAAGGGCUUAGUGGUUGGUAUCCGAGGUCCUAAGUUUGAAUUCUAGUUGAUUCAUAUUUCCAAUUAAGUUUAUUUUUAAAGAAAUAAAUGAAGCAAGUAGCAUACUACCUAUCUCUAAAAAAAAAGAAAAACAUGGUAUCUGAAGAUUCUGAACUUCUUCUAACUCUAAGACCUGUCGGUUUCAUGAAGGCAUGGCUUAGAUUCCCUGUAACUGAUAUUUAACAUGUCAGGUUUGUAAUGCGCAUGGUUCAGAUGAUUCCAACCAUGCACAUGAUCAGGGGUGCUAAGACCAUGCCUGAGGUGAUUCCUAUGAGAUCCGUCCUUUUGGUUUUAGGCCUUUUAUUGAUGCUAACAUUUUAAAUAUGUUUGUGUUAUUUCAUUUAGCAAUAGCAUGCUGUUUUUGCUGUGUACUUGGAGUACAUGUUUCCCUUGAAGAAAUUCAAUCAGCUGUUUCUUUGGUCCUCGAAGAAAAUAUGCAUGCCAUUUUGGAGUUGCGUUACCGUAUAAAUGGUUAAUUUUCUCUCCUUUUUCACUUCCUGAUGAUAGAUAUUUUCUUGUUGCCAAAAUGUUUUUUAUUUUGUUGAACAAGUCAAUUAAUUUUUAUGUAUAUGUUAGGAGCUUUGCUGUGCAAAACCUGCUAUAUCUAGAUUUAUUCUAUUACUAGAUUUGGGCAAUAUAUGAAUUUGGGAUUCCAUUAUCACAUUUUAACUGAAAAAAAUAAAUUCCGCCUUUCUAUUCUUUUAAACUGUGUGUGCAGAGAAAUUUUAAAAGUAAACUUCUUGAGUCUUCACAAAGAAAAGUGAACAUCUUAGUGUCACGCCCAAGGCCCUUUUUGUAAAGCCAUUUUAGGAUAAGGUGUAGUUUGAAAAUUUUAAAAGUAAACUUAUUUCUUGUUUAUUUGGUCAGUUGGCAGCUUAUGUGGACAGGUUAGAAUACGUCAUCCUUGCGGUGAUGCUAAACUUGUCAAGGUGCAGAGUGAUUGUGUACAGGGCUAGAAUCACCUUGUUCAACGUGAUGUAUUUCAUAUUAUACGCUUGUCUCUCUUGUGACGGGAAGUAAUGGAUAAGGAGCUUUCUAGAAUAUUGGCUUAAAGAACAGACGCUGAUGAAAAAAGCCUCCCAAAAAGAAGGAAAAACAUGUAAAAGUUGAAGACCAGAAGAGAGCUACCUCUGCACUGCUCUCUGAGGAGGAAAUGAAUCCAUUUUCUAUAUUUCUGCAGCCUGAGGAAAACUCCAAGAUAUAAUUUUCAGUGAUGGAAUAAUAUGGAGGGCCCACAAUACAAAGGAAAUGCUAGGCAGGCAUCUCGACAGUUUAGGGCCGGCUAAUUUGAUGAUACCAACUCUGAAGAUGAAAAGAUAGAAUAAAUUGAGCGUAUGAAUGAAAUCAUCCAAUGGAUGGAUUGGCAGCCAUAUAUAAGGUUACUUAUACCAGCGAUUAUUUUCAAGAUUUAUAUGAUCUAGCUGUCAAGCUGAUAAAACAAGG
RNA transcript from Ananas comosus (pineapple), 2210 nucleotides. It is a transcript of the gene named glutamine--tRNA ligase-like, with no coding region annotated. NCBI's taxonomy places the organism in Eukaryota, Viridiplantae, Streptophyta, Magnoliopsida, Poales, Bromeliaceae. The transcript has 8 exons. The record is from RefSeq and is a predicted model, not a curated record.